GAUGAACGCUGGCGGCGUGCUUAACUCAUGCCAGUCGAACGGAAAGGCUCCUGCUUGCAGGGGUACUCGAGUGGCGAACGGGUGAGUAACACGUGGGUGAUCUGCCCUGCACUUCGGGAUAAGCCUGGGAAACUGGGUCUAAUACCGGAUAGGACGAUGGUUUGGAUGCCAUUGUGGAAAGUUUUUCGGUGUGGGAUGAGCUCGCGGCCUAUCAGCUUGUUGGUGGGGUAAUGGCCUACCAAGGCGUCGACGGGUAGCCGGCCUGAGAGGGUGUACGGCCACAUUGGGACUGAGAUACGGCCCAGACUCCUACGGGAGGCAGCAGUGGGGAAUAUUGCACAAUGGGCGCAAGCCUGAUGCAGCGACGCCGCGUGGGGGAUGACGGCCUUCGGGUUGUAAACUCCUUUCGCUAGGGACGAAGCGCAAGUGACGGUACCUGGAGAAGAAGCACCGGCUAACUACGUG
RNAcentral lists this ribosomal RNA (465 nucleotides) under uncultured bacterium. RNAcentral describes it as "partial 16S ribosomal RNA". It matches the Rfam family "Bacterial small subunit ribosomal RNA", at positions 28 to 507 of the family's 1533-position model. The record is from RNAcentral.